RNAcentral lists this ribosomal RNA (380 nucleotides) under uncultured organism. RNAcentral's name for it is "bacterial SSU rRNA". It matches the Rfam family "Bacterial small subunit ribosomal RNA", at positions 367 to 762 of the family's 1533-position model. The record is from RNAcentral.
CGCAAUGGGCGAAAGUCUGACGGAGCGACGCCGCGUGGUUGAUGAAGUCCUUCGGGACGUAAAAACCUUUUAUGAUCAGGAAAGUUUAUUGAUCCGAUCAUGAAUAAGGGGCUCCAAACUCUGUGCCAGCAGGAGCGGUAAUACAGAGGCCCCAAGCGUUGUCCGGAAUCACUGGGCGUAAAGGGUGUGUAGGUGGUCUUGUUAGUCUCUCGUUAAAUCCGUGGGCUCAACCUACGGUCUGCGAGGGAAACGGUAAGGCUCGAGGGCGCGAGAGGUGCACGGAACUCAUGGUGGAGGGGUGAAAUCCGUUGAUAUCAUGGGGAACACCGAAAGCGAAGGCAGUGCACUGGCGCGUUCCUGACGCUCACACACGAAAGCCA